AGUGAACGCUGGCGGUAGGCCUAACACAUGCAAGUCGAACGGCAGCACAGUAAGAGCUUGCUCUUACGGGUGGCGAGUGGCGGACGGGUGAGGAAUACAUCGGAAUCUACUUUUUCGUGGGGGAUAACGUAGGGAAACUUACGCUAAUACCGCAUACGACCUACGGGUGAAAGCAGGGGAUCUUCGGACCUUGCGCGAUUGAAUGAGCCGAUGUCGGAUUAGCUAGUUGGCGGGGUAAAGGCCCACCAAGGCGACGAUCCGUAGCUGGUCUGAGAGGAUGAUCAGCCACACUGGAACUGAGACACGGUCCAGACUCCUACGGGAGGCACCAGUGGGGAAUAUUGGACAAUGGGCGCAAGCCUGAUCCAGCCAUACCGCGUGGGUGAAGAAGGCCUUCGGGUUGUAAAGCCCUUUUGUUGGGAAAGAAAAGCAGCAGGUUAAUACCCCGCUGUUCUGACGGUACCCAAAGAAUAAGUACCGGCUAACUUCGUG
This 492-nucleotide ribosomal RNA is filed under the name uncultured bacterium. RNAcentral's name for it is "partial 16S ribosomal RNA". It matches the Rfam family "Bacterial small subunit ribosomal RNA", at positions 29 to 507 of the family's 1533-position model. The record is from RNAcentral.